Non-coding RNA from Punica granatum (pomegranate), 454 nucleotides. Lineage: Eukaryota; Viridiplantae; Streptophyta; Magnoliopsida; Myrtales; Lythraceae. The record is from RefSeq and is a predicted model, not a curated record.
AUUGAACUCUCUCCCCUCUUCUAUAAAUACCUACAAUCACCUCUAAAGAGCAGCCAAACCACAUCCAUUUCAUUAAGAAAGAGGGCAACAGAAGAGAGAGAGAGAGAGCAGCAUCAGAUUGAGUUUCAAUCAUGCAAAGCUCCACCCUUCAUGGAAAGACCUCCUGGCCAGAGUUAGUAGGAAAGAAGGGAGAGGCUGCAAUGGCAUCAAUAAAAAGUGAGAAUCCAAACCUGAACGCGUUCACAAUUAAGGAGGGCACUCCCGUCACCAGAGACUAUCGCGUUGACCGUGUCCGUGUUUGGGUCGAUGACUCCGACCUAGUCACCAGAGUCCCCACGGUGGGCUAAUCAAUGGUGUUACCAAAUAAAAUAAUAUGAAUAAGCUCCUUAUAUGAGGAGCCCCCUCUUGAAUGUGCAGAUGAAAUAAAAGCUGUUUACUUCCACUUUUGUCUUAA